AUUGAACGCUGGCGGCAGGCCUAACACAUGCAAGUCGAACGGUAACAGGAAGAAGCUUGCUUCUUUGCUGACGAGUGGCGGACGGGUGAGGAAUGUCUGGGAAACUGCCUGAUGGAGGGGGAUAACUACUGGAAACGGUAGCUAAUACCGCAUAACGUCGCAAGACCAAAGAGGGGGAACUUCGGGCCUCUUGCCAUCGGAUGUGCCCAGAUGGGAUUAGCUAGUAGGUGGGGUAACGGCUCACCUAGGCGACGAUCCCUAGCUGGUCUGAGAGGAUGACCAGCCACACUGGAACUGAGACACGGUCCAGACUCCUACGGGAGGCAGCAGUGGGGAAUAUUGCACAAAGGGCGCAAGCCUGAUGCAGCCAUGCCGCGUGUAUGAAGAAGGCCUUCGGGUUGUAAAGUACUUUCAGCGGGGAGGAAGGGAGUAAAGUUAAUACCUUUGCUCAUUGACGUUACCCGCAGAAGAAGCACCGGCUAACUCCGUG
Molecule: ribosomal RNA, 490 nt
Filed under: uncultured bacterium
Lineage: Bacteria
Description: partial 16S ribosomal RNA
Rfam family: Bacterial small subunit ribosomal RNA
Source: RNAcentral